Non-coding RNA from Cinara cedri, 313 nucleotides. The record is from the annotation of a GenBank genome assembly. NCBI's taxonomy places the organism in Eukaryota, Metazoa, Arthropoda, Insecta, Hemiptera, Aphididae.
CGCGGAUAUUGAACGCCGGUCGCGAUUUACUACGACGCGCGAACAACGAUUCGGUUCGCUCGCACGGGAUCGAAUUACAAUAAUCAUUGUGAUUUGGGUGCUGUAUAGGCGUUGCGUCGGGACAAUAUUAUCAGACGCGAUAAUCGUCGUGCGAAAAACGGCAUGACAAUACUAAUCGUUUGUCAGCGUUAAGGCGAUAAUUUUCGAUAAAAAAAACUCGGAUGCAUACGUUGUUAUCGAAGUUUUUGCGUGUCCGUAUCGUUUUUAUUUAAAAAACUGUCAAUAGAUAUCGUAUGUUCAUUCUGGAAGUUUC